UGAGAUUGUCUGAGAAACUUGCAAAAAGGAUACCAAUGGUCAGGGAGUACCUCAGACCAACUCGAUCAGAUUUCUGGUGGUUGGCAUGGGGAUUGGGAUUGUAUGGAAGUGUUCUCCAGGUGACUUUAAUAGCAGCUGGCCAAGUCUGCAUUUGUGGAAAUCUGCAGUAUUUGAAGUUUGGAGGAGAUCAAUUUUUCAUCCUUUCCUUCGUGGGAUAAAGAAUAUUUCAACCACCUCUGGAGACCAAAGAGUUCUGAGAAGUUUUGAAAUAGCUUGGGAAAUACACCACGUGCUUCACACUUCAUUUUUCUCCUCUCUCUUUCAUUGUUUCACUUAAUUAAAAUAUUGUAAUGCAAGGAGAGAUGAGGCAAACGUUUAGAGAAGGAAAAGGAAAUGGGUUCAUGUUUAAACUGACUCUGAGCAAGCAUGGC
This 431-nucleotide small RNA is filed under the name Pan troglodytes (chimpanzee). RNAcentral's name for it is "sense intronic". Lineage: Eukaryota; Metazoa; Chordata; Mammalia; Primates; Hominidae. The record is from RNAcentral.